RNAcentral lists this long non-coding RNA (455 nucleotides) under Zonotrichia albicollis (white-throated sparrow). RNAcentral's name for it is "lncRNA (ENSZALG00000013707.1)". The record is from RNAcentral. Lineage: Eukaryota; Metazoa; Chordata; Aves; Passeriformes; Passerellidae.
CAAACCAGCAGAAUCGGGGAAGUGAAAUCUUGGCAGGAGCAAAAUCCAGUUUCAACAUCAUCCACCUAUUUUAUUUUCUAUUUUUUAUGUGUUUGUGCUUUCAUGGUGGCAACCUGCCUUCCUCCUUUCCCUGCCCCUGCUGUUCUGUCCGGCGGCAGAAGAAGGAUGCACGGAGUUCGUGGACGUGACCAUCCUGGUGAGCAGCGCAGUGGCCGUGUCGGUGCUCCCGCUCCUCGCCAUUGUCCUCUGCUAUUUGUCUUUUGCACGUCACACGGUGCAGGGCUGUAGCAACGACUGUGAUGUCUCUUGGAUGGGCAAAACCAGGUCCUUCGAAAUGUCUCAGCCAGGCACCAAGGACACCAAUCCCAGCUGAGAUCCAUGUGGGUGUCUCUCACUUGGCCAAGCCAGCCCAAGCCCUCCCCCAGGUUUAGUCGGUUCAGGAGUCUCAGUUUUGG